AGGGUGCCGGGGCUUCUCCCGCUUU
This 25-nucleotide transfer RNA is filed under the name Cyrtodactylus tigroides. RNAcentral's name for it is "partial tRNA-Cys". The record is from RNAcentral. Lineage: Eukaryota; Metazoa; Chordata; Lepidosauria; Squamata; Gekkonidae.